GGGGAAUAUUGCGCAAUGGGGGAAACCCUGACGCAGCAACGCCGCGUGAAGGAUGAAGGUUUUCGGAUUGUAAACUUCUUUGAUGAGGGAAGAAAGAAAUGACGGUACCUCAAAAACAAGCCACGGCUAACUACGUGCCAGCAGCCGCGGUAAUACGUAGGUGGCGAGCGUUGUCCGGAAUUACUGGGUGUAAAGGGCGUGUAGGCGGGAUUGCAAGUCAGGUGUGAAAUUCCCGAGGCUUAACCUCGGAGCUGCAUCUGAAACUGUGGUUCUUGAGUGCUGGAGAGGAUAGUGGUAUUCCUAGUGUAGCGGUGAAAUGCGUAGAUAUUAGGAGGAACACCAGUGGCGAAGGCGACUAUCUGGACAGUAACUGACGCUGAGGCGCGAAAGCGUGGGGAGCAAAC
This 404-nucleotide ribosomal RNA is filed under the name uncultured bacterium. RNAcentral describes it as "bacterial SSU rRNA". It matches the Rfam family "Bacterial small subunit ribosomal RNA", at positions 356 to 773 of the family's 1533-position model. The record is from RNAcentral.